UAAAAAAAAAAAAAAGAGUACAAAGCUGCUAUAAUGAUCCCUGAUUGAAUAAUAAGCUCAACUAUAACAAACACUAUGGUUACAAGAGAAUGAGAAUCAUUAAGAAUGAAUUUUGACUUUUGAAAGCAAAAGUUUUCAACUUGCACAAUAUUAAGUAAAAUUAUCCAGAAUAUUUAAAGUGCAUUUUGAGGGAAUUAAGAACAACCUGAUAAGCCUCUGGCCCUUCAGCUAUGACAGUUGCAUGAUAUACAACAUAUUGCAUAUCUGUUAAUGUACACACAGUAUCAAAAAGUAGCUUAGGGCGGUCAGGGCACCUCAAGUUCACAGCCGUGUAUCCCUUAUCUGCACAAUUUUCUACUGUUACAAGGGGUUUGCUCCGUUCACUUGUUGAUCCACAAUCCGCAUCAUCCAUAUCAUAGUCACGAUCAGCAUACAUCAUCUGGUGCAACCUCCUUUCCUUAUGAGUGGAACCCACAGACACAGCUGUAUUUGCACUUCGUUUAUCCCUAUCUCCCUUCAGAACAUACAGGAGGAGCUGUUUGAUCUUAGUGAGUCUAUCAUGAACAUCAAUAGGUAAUCCAGUAGCUUCAUCAGUUAUGUAAACAACUGAUGCCAUUCGUGAAUUGUGAGUCCAGACUUCUGCAGCCACCACGUUACAUUUGAGGUCAGUAAGAACAGCAAAAACUUCUGAAAGCAAGCCUGGACGGUCUCUUCCAGUCAAUUCAAUAGUUGUGUUUUCUGUGGCAGCUUGGACACCUACAGACCUUCUCAAGGACCGGAAGCUGCGUGCUCUUGGUCCCAACGACUGUGACAUGUAAACUAACUCAUCAACAUGACAUUGAAAUCACCUGCCUCCACAAAUAAUGAUGCUAAAAUUUCAUAGUACAGACCAAACAUCAAUCAAUGCUUCUUCCUUGUCUAGUCCUUUUGUCAUUUACUCAUUGAUGUCUCAAAUUAUGGAGUGUGAUUAAAGCAGCUAAAAAUUGUAUUCUACAACUUAAGUACCCAAAAUAACUUAUCGAAAGGACUGGUUCUGUUUCUUCCAUGACUUUUAUAGACCAACAUUUUUUUUUUUUAAAUGAUCCUUAGAAUUGAAUAGCAAAAAUUUAGACUCAAAAUGAAUACAAAAUCAAGAAUCACUGCAAGAUUAUUUCAAAAUUGAAGGAAAGGCUAGAAACCUAAGAACAUAGAAGAACUAAAUGAAGCAAGGUUUUCAUUGACUACCUAGGGCCAUGAUUCAUUUUUGUAAUACAGUAAAGAGUCCAACUUUAGAGUAUCUGAUAAUAAGAAAUCAAUCUAAGCUCCCUUUGAAACCAAAUAUUUAUAGUUUAUUUACAAUAAUUAAAGUUAAGAAAUGGAGACUGGCUUUCCAGAUUUACCUGUUGGAUUCGUUCAGCCACAUCAUCCUUAGAGAGCUUAUUCCCAUGUUGAUCUGUGACAUGAAACACUGCAAAUAACCAGUGAAAACAAGAAAAAUCAACCAUACAGCAAUAAGUUAUAAACCCACCAAAUUAAAUGAAAAGCAAGGGACCAAAAGCUAACCAUCCAUGAACCAUUCCCCAUCGGAAGAAAUGUAAGCUCUUCUAAUUAUAAGAUCCAAAUCAGUCAAAACCUGAACCACCUCCAACAAGCUACCUCGCUUAUUUGCACUAUCAACCUUAAUCAAAGUGGCUUUCCCGCUCGAGUCAUUAUCAACAGUAACCCUAGGAGGGUUCAUUCGAAUCACGAGCUUCUCAAAUUCAUCACCCAUUAUGAAAGAAGGAGACCAACAAUCCAUUUGAACCAAAAAAGGUAAGAAAUUUUCGUGAGAAUCAAGAAUGGAGGUGUCUUAAAAGACUUAGAGAAAUGGGUUAGCUCUGUUUCUUUGCACUUUUGGACUCCGAGUUCAGUUUGCGGCUAUGCGUUUGUUGGAGUGGUGGUGGUAGUACGGGUGGCUUUUGAGUUGGACGAAGAGUUUUGGAGGGACCUAAACUUAACCAAAAA
Molecule: unclassified non-coding RNA, 1983 nt
Filed under: Hevea brasiliensis (rubber tree)
Lineage: Eukaryota; Viridiplantae; Streptophyta; Magnoliopsida; Malpighiales; Euphorbiaceae
Source: RNAcentral